AGCUGCUGCUGGGAGCUGCUCCUGGGGCCCUUUGACAGGGUGGGGGAGGAGGCAGUAGCAAGUCCAGCUAGACAAUAUAAUCCACGUGAAGCCCCAAGCUGGAAGAGAGGGAGCAUCUGUGAACAAACAGGCCAAGGAAUCUCCAAAAUGUGACUGGGAACAGACUUUCAAAGCAGCUCGUUCUCAGGAAGACCUUGAAGGAGAUGAGAUGUUUAAGGGAAACCACCUGGGCUUGCUGCAAAGCCUCUGAAAGAUAAGACAUGAUGGGGGAGUGAAGACCGGGAAAAGCCUAGCAGGCCAGAGACAUAGAGCCAGUGAAAAAGUUAACUGACAG
Molecule: long non-coding RNA, 334 nt
Organism: Alligator sinensis (Chinese alligator)
Lineage: Eukaryota; Metazoa; Chordata; Crocodylia; Alligatoridae
Exons: 3
Source: RefSeq, a predicted model, not a curated record